This 520-nucleotide ribosomal RNA is filed under the name uncultured bacterium. RNAcentral's name for it is "bacterial SSU rRNA". It matches the Rfam family "Bacterial small subunit ribosomal RNA", at positions 348 to 866 of the family's 1533-position model. The record is from RNAcentral.
GCAGCAGUAAGGAAUAUUGGGCAAUGGUCGGAAGACUGACCCAGCCAUGCCGCGUGCAGGAAGAAGGCCCUAUGGGUUGUAAACUGCUUUAGCCAGGGGCUAAACCUACCGAUGCGUUGGUAGCUGAAGGUACCUGGAGAAUAAGCAUCGGCUAACUCCGUGCCAGCAGCCGCGGUAAUACGGAGGAUGCGAGCGUUAUCCGGAUUUACUGGGUUUAAAGGGUGCGCAGGCGGUUGUUUAAGUCAGGGGUGAAAGCCCUAUGCUCAACAUAGGGAUUGCCUUUGAUACUGAACGGCUAGAGUGAAGAUGGAGUGGGUGGAAUGUGUUGUGUAGCGGUGAAAUGCAUAGAUAUAACACAGAACACCGAUCGCGAAGGCAGCUCACUAAUUUUCAACUGACGCUCAUGCACGAAAGCGUGGGGAUCAAACAGGAUUAGAUACCCUGGUAGUCCACGCUGUAAACGAUGAUCACUAGCUGUUGGUACGCUGAAGUAUCAGUGGCUAAGCGAAAGUGAUAAGUG